GAUGAAGAACGUAGCGAAAUGCGAUAAGUAAUGUGAAUUGCAGAAUUCAGUGAAUCAUCGAAUCUUUGAACGCACAUUGCGCCCGCCAGUAUUCUGGCGAGCAUGCCUGUUCGAGCGUCAUUUCAACCAUCAAGCCCCAGGCUUGUGUUGGAGCCCUGCGGCUGCCGCAGCCUCCCAAAACCAGUGGCGGGCUCGCUAUCACACCGAGUGCAGUAGUUUACUCUUCGCUCAGGGCGUGUGGCGGGUGCUAGCCGUGAAACCCCCAACUUCUCAAGGUUGACCUCGGAUCAGGUAGGAAUAUCCGCUGAACUUAAGCAUAUCAAUAAGCGGAGGA
This 334-nucleotide unclassified non-coding RNA is filed under the name soil metagenome. Its description in RNAcentral is "partial contains 5.8S ribosomal RNA, internal transcribed spacer 2, and large subunit ribosomal RNA". The stretch from base 1 to 120 matches the Rfam family "5.8S ribosomal RNA", at positions 35 to 154 of the family's 154-position model. The record is from RNAcentral.